Molecule: ribosomal RNA, 253 nt
Filed under: uncultured bacterium
Lineage: Bacteria
Description: partial 16S ribosomal RNA
Rfam family: Bacterial small subunit ribosomal RNA
Source: RNAcentral
UACGGGGGGGGCAAGCGUUGUUCGGAAUUACUGGGCGUAAAGGGCUUGUAGGUGGCCAACUAAGUCAGACGUGAAAUCCCUCGGCUUAACCGGGGAACUGCGUCUGAUACUGGAUGGCUCGAGUGUGGGAGAGGGAUGCGGAAUUCCAGGUGUAGCGGUGAAAUGCGUAGAGAUCAUGAGGAAGACCAGUGGCGAAGGCGGGUCUCUGGACAGUUCCUGACACUGAGGCACGAAGGCCAGGGGAGCAAACGGG